Peromyscus maniculatus bairdii (prairie deer mouse) is the source of this 1392-nucleotide non-coding RNA. Lineage: Eukaryota; Metazoa; Chordata; Mammalia; Rodentia; Cricetidae. The record is from RefSeq and is a predicted model, not a curated record.
CACUAAGGAUGGCGAAGUCCACCAGGAAUUGAGAGAGGAAAGACCCCAGCGCAGGAUCAUCCACCACAGUCUCUCUUAGCAUCUCCUCCUACAGUGUCUUGUUCAGCAUAGCUCCUGACCCACGCUGAGCCAACUCACAUGCUGACUCGGGUGAGCCGGAAGUCAGUGUGUUGGUUACUUUUCUUAUUGUUGUGACUGAACACCAGACAAGAAGCAAGUUAAGAGAAGGAUGGUCUGCGCUGGCUCACAGCUGGAGAAUCUCCUCCAUCAUGGCGGGGAAGCCUUGCCGCUUAGAGAAUGUGGUUUGCCAGUAAGACCUCGGAGGCUGUUUUCACACUUCUUGGAAGAUCAGGUGAGUAGAGAUGUAUACUACAGAAGAUCGGUGUUUAAUUAGAUGUGUUCCCACCACAUGAACCAGAGAAGAGGAGGAAGGAAUGGGGAAAGAAAUACGGGUGUGCCUGCCUCCAGGGUCCUGACUUCAGGUUCCUGCCUUGACUUCCUUCAGUGAUGAACUGUGAUGCAGAAGUGUGAAAAGCCAAAUAAACUCUUUCCUCCCAAAGUUGCUUUGGGUGUCUUAUCACAGCAAUAGAAACCAUAACUAAUACACAUGGUCACCCUUGCGUGCAUGUCUGUGCCCUGAUCUGUUGUAAGGAACCCUGGCACACAGGCAGCCACAGCCAUAUGACGUGGGAGAAAUAAUGUCCAUUCUCCUGUCACAGAACAUUCAGCCCAGUCACCCAUAAGGAAACUUUCCCCAAGGUCUGAAGAGCAUCCACCUCUGUGCCUGGCUCUGAUGUUCACAUUCUGAAGCCAAGAAAAAGUACUGCUCAGAAUUAUUGCUUAAAGAGUUGGAGUUUUUACUGGAGUUAUAUAAAGCCAGUGAUGUCGGAGUAGUGCAUGAAUCACAGGAAAGAGCCCUGAUUAUUUUUUACCCAGUAUCUGGCAGUAUUCGAUGAUAGAUACAUGCAAUGGAUCCUCAAGUGCAAACUCCCCCAGUGCUAUUUCAGAGUUACUAAAGACCUCCAUUGCCAGAACUUGCUAGAAGAAAUAGCCCAUCUUCUCUCUCCUGUCUGGCCUCAAGAGUGCAUGGAUACAUCAAAGAUCCUAAGCCCUGUCUUGCAGAGGACAACAUGUUCUUGCUUCCCAGGGACAAACAACUCCAAAAUUCAGGGAGAACCCUCCUCAUUCUAACCAAGUUAACAAAAAUGAGUCUAAAUAUCAAGUGAUGUUGAGGAGGUGAUAAUGUGAGUCCCUUGUACAUCCUGGAAGGAUUGCAGAGAGUGUACAACUCAGAAAGCAUGCUGGUCAUUCUUUGGUAGAGCAUAGAAAUUUACAUGUGUGUCUGAGAAGAUAUCCAGGGGGACACUUACCAGAUUCAUUUGCCACAAUAAA